UGAAAAUGACAUCACAACAAGUUAACUCUCUGUGGUUCAGCGAGUAUUUUAGUUUGUUGGAGUGUGAUACGCGAGAGCGAGAGGAGCGUCAACCUUCUCACGGGCAUGUCCUGCCACUGCAAAUCCCCACCCACGUGAGAGGUGCUCGUGAGGGCGAGUGGUAGCAGCGUUUGUGUGGAACGGCCUGGCGAUCUGCUGGACCGUGGCGGGAAAAUUCAAUAUGGCUGCCCCCCCCCCCCCAAUCCACCUCCCCCUCAGCAGUAGAAGGUGUAAUCUGAGAACGGACACCGAAAAAGGGGGAGCGAGACUACUCGUGAUGACACCUGACUCGGCCUUGAAUAAAAGCAGCUGUUGGAUUGCUGGUUGAUCCUUACAGGGAUAGCAGCUAAUCAGCCUCACCCCCCAGAAAAGCUUUGAUUUAACCUAACCCUAGCUGGAGGUGGAGCAUUAAAAACACGAAUGUCAUGUUACAAAAGUAACCCUGCUUUUUUUUAUCUCCUCUUCAUGAAAGUCCAAUGGACUGGACCAAUGCAGAUACUUGCUCAUUUGUGUUACAUGCUUCAGGUAUUAUUAUUAUUAUUAUUAUUAUUAUUAUUAUUUGAAUACUUUCCUUACCCCUGGGCCUCAGUACCUCCAAAGAUAUCUCUUUCCUUUAAUGAUUUUGCUAAUCAUAGAUGUUCAGGAAAAUAAUUAAUAGGACAGAGUAUCAAUUACAUUAAAACUCCAUUAUAAAAUGGAUUUUGAUAUUGCAUUGCAAACAUUAAUAAUUAGCAGAUAAUUAUAUUUUAGCCAGUUUAGAAUUUAUACUAUGGCAUAUUUUCACAGAAUAAUAUUGGCAUGGUAUUGGAGAAGUAUACAGCAAAAGAGAAUGGUAGCUGUGAGCAAGUCCUUCUCAGGUAGUAUUCCCAGAAGAUACUUCUUCCUGUGUAGUUAUCAUAACCUAGGGGGAAAUCCAUGACAAAACAAGGGAAACAUUUUAAAGGCUGCAUUUUAAAUAGUUCAUUUUGCACCAAAUGUUUAAAAAAGUAACCCAAAGUUAUAUGCAUCAAGUCAUGCUUAUUAUCUUCUUUUGUAUUGCUUGACUCACCUGGAACAGUGCGGCACUCUGAAGACAGGCCCAUGCUUGCUUUCAGGGCAUUUCUAACUGGUGAAACCAGUACCUGUCAAAAACUGUCAGGGAAUAACUCAAAUAAGCGCACACAUCAAAGAAAGUGCAGCAGCCUACAUUUCACAAGCCUUCCAGCUAUUCCAUAAAUGUGUCUAGAUUUUGGCUUAAUUUCUGGCAUUGAGUUCCUAGUGUCUGUCUGAAGUGUUCAAAGGUGUCAAGACACUCUUAAUUAUCUCAUAUCUU
Anguilla rostrata (American eel) is the source of this 1351-nucleotide long non-coding RNA. RefSeq lists it as uncharacterized. Lineage: Eukaryota; Metazoa; Chordata; Actinopteri; Anguilliformes; Anguillidae. The transcript is spliced from 3 exons. The record is from RefSeq and is a predicted model, not a curated record.